This is a long non-coding RNA of Malus domestica (apple), 693 nucleotides long. RefSeq lists it as uncharacterized. The record is from RefSeq and is a predicted model, not a curated record. Lineage: Eukaryota; Viridiplantae; Streptophyta; Magnoliopsida; Rosales; Rosaceae.
AGGAUCUUCCCAAAACAAACUAGGCGACUGACUAGAUCAGUACUUCUCCCUCCCGCUUCGAGAAAACGUAACAAACUGAACCAGUCCCCGGCAGCGUAGUGAGAGGAAUACGACGUCGCAAUCCAGCCAUGGAAGCGCUACCUAUCCCGACGGACACGUACAAACUAGGGUUUAUCGGAGCAGGUAAAAUGGCUGAGAGCAUCGCCAGAGGAAUCGUCCGAUCGGGGGUUCUCCCUCCCAAUCGCAUCUCCACCUUCCACCCUGACCCCAGUCGUCGCCAAGCUUUCGAGUCCUUCGGAGUCCAUCUCCUCUCCGAAAACGACGACGUCUGAACCCCCCUCCCCCCCCCCUCCCUCUCUCUCCCAUUUUCCCUGCUUUUACACGCCUCUGUAUCUAAUUGAAUGACUGAAGUUGCAUCGUCAUUUUCUCUGUCAAACCUCAAGUUGUUAAAGAUGUAGUUUUGCGGUUGAGGCCGCUUCUUUCCAGAAAGAAGCUGCUUGUUUGAAUUGCUGCUGGAGUCAAAUUGAAAGAUCUGCAGGUCUCUCACUUGCAACUCGUCUUACUUUUAUCCACAUUGACUGUAUGGAUUGCCAAAAACCCUGUAUUUCAUUUUUGAACCUCUUGUUUCCAAUUUAAUUUGUUGAUUUUGAUUGUUUGGUGUUCGGGUUUCUGAGGAAAAUCAUGUUCUGAAUC